Molecule: long non-coding RNA, 133 nt
Organism: Octopus sinensis (East Asian common octopus)
Lineage: Eukaryota; Metazoa; Mollusca; Cephalopoda; Octopoda; Octopodidae
Exons: 3
Source: RefSeq, a predicted model, not a curated record
AGUCACAAUGAGGAUAUUCAAACCUCUUAUGAGGAUAUUUAUCCAAGAUAAACUGGUUUAAUAUAUUAAAUUUUGGAGAGAAAAUCUUUCAAUGGAUAUAAUAUUAUAUAGAAUAUCCUAAAAUGCAAAAGGG